UACGGGGGGGGCAAGCGUUGUUCGGAAUUACUGGGCGUAAAGCGUGCGCAGGCGGUGAUGUAAGACCGUUGUGAAAUCCCCGGGCUCAACCUGGGAACUGCAUCUGUGACUGCAUCGCUGGAGUGCGGCAGAGGGGGAUGGAAUUCCGCGUGUAGCAGUGAAAUGCGUAGAUAUGCGGAGGAACACCGAUGGCGAAGGCAAUCCCCUGGGCCUGCACUGACGCUCAUGCACGAAAGCGUGGGGAGCAAACAGG
Molecule: ribosomal RNA, 253 nt
Filed under: uncultured bacterium
Lineage: Bacteria
Description: partial 16S ribosomal RNA
Rfam family: Bacterial small subunit ribosomal RNA
Source: RNAcentral